This 1157-nucleotide ribosomal RNA is filed under the name uncultured organism. Its description in RNAcentral is "bacterial SSU rRNA". It matches the Rfam family "Bacterial small subunit ribosomal RNA", at positions 56 to 1259 of the family's 1533-position model. The record is from RNAcentral.
UGCAAGUCGAGCGAUGAGGUCUCCUUCGGGGGGCACAUCAGCGGCAGACGGGUGAGUAACACGUAGGUAACCUACCCCAGAGACAGGGAUAACCCUAGGAAACGAGGGCUAAUACCGGAUGACCUCCGGAAGGAGGAAAGGCUCAGGCGCUCUGGGAGGGGCUUGCGGCCCAUCAGCUAGUUGGUAGGGUAAAGGCCUACCAAGGCGAAGACGGGUAGGGGGUGUGAGAGCACGGCCCCCCACAAUGGGACUGAAACACGGCCCAUACUCCUACGGGAGGCAGCAGCAGGGAAUAUUGCACAAUAGGCGAAAGCCUGAUGCAGCGACGCCGCGUGAGUGAAGAAGGCCUUCGGGUCGUAAAGCUCUUUUGUAGGGGAAGAGGAAGGACGGUACCCUAAGAAGAAGCGUCGGCUAACUACGUGCCAGCAGCCGCGGUAAGACGUAGGACGCGAGCGUUAUCCGGAAUUACUGGGCGUAAAGGGCCAGCAGGCGGCUUGGUAAGUUGUGCGUGAAAGCCUCGUGCUCAACGCGAGGAAGCCGGACAAUACUGUCAAGCUAGAGGGCAUCAGAGGGGAGUGGAAUUCCCGGAGUAGCGGUAAAAUGCGCAGAUAUCGGGAGGAACACCGAUGGCGAAGGCAGCUCCCUGGGAUGCACCUGACGCUAAGAGGCGAAAGCUAGGGGAGCGAACAGGAUUAGAGACCCUGGCAGUCCUAGCUGUAAACGCUGGGUGCUAGGUGUGGGACGUAGAAGUUCCGUGCCGGAGCAAACGCGAUAAGCACCCCGCCUGGGAAUUACGGUCGCAAGGCUAAAACUCAAACGAAUUGACGGGGCCCCGCACAAGCAGCGGAGCGUGUGGUUCAAUUCGAUGCUACACGAAGAACCUUACCUGGGUUUGACAUGUACGUGGUACGAAGGCGAAAGCCUAAGGACCCUUCGGGGAGCGUACACAGGUGCUGCAUGGCUGUCGUCAGCUCGUGCCGUGAGGUGUCGGGUUAAGUCCCGUAACGAGCGCAACCCUUGCCCUUAGUUACAAGUGUCUAAGGGGACUGCCGGCGGGAAGCCGGAGGAAGGUGGGGAUGACGUCAAGUCAGCAUGGCCCUUAUGUCCAGGGCUACACACACGCUACAAUGGUCAGUACAAAGGGUAGCGAAGUCGCG